Molecule: ribosomal RNA, 569 nt
Filed under: uncultured bacterium
Lineage: Bacteria
Description: bacterial SSU rRNA
Rfam family: Bacterial small subunit ribosomal RNA
Source: RNAcentral
GGAAUAUUGGUCAAUGGGCGCGAGCCUGAACCAGCCAAGUCGCGUGAAGGAUGACGGUCCUAUGGAUUGUAAACUUCUUUUGUGCAGGAAUAAAGUGAGGAACGUGUUCCUUUUUGUAUGUACUGUACGAAUAAGCAUCGGCUAACUCCGUGCCAGCAGCCGCGGUAAUACGGAGGAUGCGAGCGUUAUCCGGAUUUAUUGGGUUUAAAGGGUGCGUAGGCGGGCUGAUAAGUCAGUGGUGAAAGUUUGCAGCUUAACUGUAAAAUUGCCAUUGAAACUGUUAGUCUUGAGUGCAAAUGAGGUAGGCGGAAUGUGUUGUGUAGCGGUGAAAUGCUUAGAUAUAACACAGAACUCCGAUUGCGAAGGCAGCUUACUGGGAUGCAACUGACGCUGAUGCACGAAAGCGUGGGUAUCAAACAGGAUUAGAUACCCUGGUAGUCCACGCAGUAAACGAUGAAUACUAACUGUUUGCGAUAUACAGUAAGCGGUACAGCGAAAGCGUUAAGUAUUCCACCUGGGGAGUACGUUCGCAAGAAUGAAACUCAAAGGAAUUGACGGAAGGGCGAAUU